UGUGUAGGCGGCCUAUUAAGUUCCGUGUGAAAUCUCCCGGCUUAACCGGGAGGGUGCGCGGAAAACUGACGGGCUAGAGUGCGGGAUGGGAGAGUAGAAUUCCUGGUGUAGCGGUGAAAUGCGUAGAUAUCAGGAGGAAUACCUGUGGUGUAGACGGCUCUCUGGACCGCAACUGACGCUGAGACACGAAAGCGUGGGUAGCAAACA
RNAcentral lists this ribosomal RNA (207 nucleotides) under uncultured bacterium. RNAcentral's name for it is "partial 16S ribosomal RNA". It matches the Rfam family "Bacterial small subunit ribosomal RNA", at positions 568 to 774 of the family's 1533-position model. The record is from RNAcentral.